UGUCCAAAAUGCAUAAACUACUGUUAUUCAGUGAGUUUUUCUACAACAAGACAGAAAAUGUUCAGAUUUACAUAGUUUAGGUGGUUUUGAACAUGGUGAGCAUGGUGGCUCUUGAAACAUAUUUACAUGUAAACAAAUAUGCCAGAUCAGAUAGGAGUUGAAUAAAAAUAAGAAAAUAACUGCAAGUUACUGCUUGUAAGAAAUACCUUCUGCCUUCAUCUAUACCCAUGUUCUGUUUUGACAGAAAAAUUACUUUGGGUUAUCUGAGGUCCAGUAAGGAAAUGGCUUAUGCACUUCAAGCUCUUCACAAGCAAACUGUUCGAGCCUCUUGCCUGCCAGCCAGUCAAGAUGGCCCCCCAACCCUGCAGCCAAUCCCACGGUCGGGCACGCAGAAGAAAACCGCAGGCCAGCUGAUCCUCUCCCUGGCUACCUUCAUCUGCUCCUGCGGAAAUUUUUGGACUUGCAUGAAUUUUCAAGAGCUUCAUGGUCUACUGGGCUGGAGCAUUUCAGGAAGGAAAGAAUGGGGAGAAAGCCCUUGAGUCAUAUUCAGGCCUCAGAAAUCUUUUACUUGAUAACCCUGCUACAAAUGAUCAGUGCUUGUACAAAAGACAGAAGCUAUGGCUUGAAAUGAGGGGAAAGGCCAUGGUUAAGUAGCGUUUGGCAGCUAGCACCUUUUUUUAAUUGUGUGUCGCAUGCUGUGUUUGGAGAUUUCACACGAUUUAGCCCCAGUCAGCAUGGAGAACGUGGCCCUAGCAAGAUGUUAUUGUGACUGUAAACAAUCCUCCUUACACAAGUUAUUGCUAAACAGCUAAGUUUCUUAUAAGCAAAUCAUUUUUGACUUUUAUUUCAGAUAUUUUGUGAAGAUUCACAUUAAUUGUCCCAGAAAGUGCUUAUCUCGACUCAUCCCUCUACCUAAUUUGCAGCCUUACUACCUCAUGGCUAACACGCUAAUGACUGAAACCUCCAACCUCCCCUUCCUAGAAAGAGGAAUAAAUGGCUAUGUGCAAAUAGAUUAUGAUGAACUGCUUGAACUGCAAUUAAGGCAGAAGGAAGAGAAGGAGAUGACAGCAGUUUAGACAACAAUUUGGGCAACUGCAGCUGCAGCUGCUUUGUGGUUUAAUGCAGUAAUUGAUAGACUCUGCCUGUCACUAGAGGGAUCAGAAUGCAAACUUAAAUUACCAUCAUUAGGGUUCUCCUAAUUGCAGCAUUACAUGCAAAGCCUGUUUUUGUUUGUUAUUAUAAAACGACUCUUCUGUUAUCUAAUUUGUUCGGGCAGAUCUUCCCUUCCUUUAAUACGGAAACAAAUUAGAAUUCGGAUUUGGAGCUCAAUGGAAAAUCCAGACACUUUCCGAAUCGUGGUCAUAAUAUGAACAUAAUCACAGCUAAGCAUUAUUUCAUUAAACAGGUGCAGUGAUUAUGCAUCUUAAAGUGUUUGUUUGCAAAUUUGAAUCAAUCAAAUGGACCCAUUGAGAGCAUCUUGAUCUAUUUACUGAUUAUACGAUUGCAAACUGGCAUAAUCAUCAAUUUAUUCUCACGUGCAAUGAAACAUCUCAUUAUUCUAGCCUUGUUAUGAAUGAUACGUUGAAUGUCGUGGGAAUGAUUGGAUUUCUAGCAUUGUAUAUAAAUCCAUCCAUUCAAGGACAUGCUAGUGUGAUUUCUAUGUGUGUGUAUGGCCAGUGUUUCUCAUUGCCCCCAGCUCUUUCUCAUUAAGAGGUCAAAUAUAAAGUACAAAGGAAAAAAAAAAUGCUGAGACUACACAUUGGUGUAUUGCACUUACUAAGACUGACAAGGUCUCUGGGUGCUGGGAAGAUCUUUGCCAUUGUACUGAAUCACCAUUCCCCAUGAACCAACACACACCAGCCUCACUGAAUCAUCCAGAUGAAAAACUGGAGAGCAACACAAAAGGAUAAAUUGUAUUGUGCCUCUAAGUGAAACAGUACAUGUACACCCACCAGCGACAUUCAGAGAUCAGUGCCAAUAAUCAAGUAUUAAUGAUUAUUUAAUGCGCAUACGCUGGAGUUGGGUAAUUGGAAAGUUAAAUGACGGGCAAGGUCAGUAGAGUCACAUUUAUCAGUUUCUAUUUAUCUCUUCUGGGGAGGUGGCAGGUUUACAGUAAAUACCUUCUGUCCCCCUAAUUUCCUAAUGAUGGGGAUAAUGAUGGAGAAUGGAGCAGCCAUUAGCAGGGAAAGGCUCUGUGCAUCACUCUGUCAGCGCUGUCUUUUCGAGGCCCACAAUGUAAAGUGAUGGGACCCAGGUACUCAAAAACCCACCCAAUGGAUAAUCAUCCACAUAAAGCUACAUACAGUAGCUCUGAAAUACAAAGACUAGUCACUUGAUGAAGACUGGGUGAUAUACUUCACUCUUUUGACAUGUAUCUUCUGUAAUUAUACAAAAGUUAGUCCGCUCCUCUAAUUGAAUUGAUUGAGCUGUGUUCCAAGAAAGCUCAUGGUUAAUCCAACAGCACUGGGACUUUUCAUCAUUUCUGUCAUUCCAGACAGAGUCCAGACAGAGUGUCACUCUGUGCAUUAGUGGUGAGGAUUUUUCAGCGACUGUUUCUGCAGGCUACAUCAAUAUACAAGUGGGUGUUGAUGGGUCUUUAUAAAUGAGAUAUUAAUUAAUUCACUCACCAUCCAAAAUCGCAUACUUCCCUACUAUAUAGUAGAGCAAAAAAAAAAAAAAAAAAAAAUAUGUCUGAAUUCACAGUGUUCAAUAAAUAUUAGGCAAAAAGAGAAUAUGCAAUUUCAGAUACAUCCACUGUCUCUAUGAGCGAGUCUUUGAAUCAUUCAUUCAACUGAUUUGUUUAAAAUCACAGAUUCAUUCAGGAACAGAAUGGCACUAUGGAGUACCCAGAGACAUAACCAAACUUUGUUUAGAAUUAGGAUUUGCUGCUUAAUCUAGACAGGGCUAUAAUAUGAAUAUAAUCACAGCAUUAUUUCAUUAAACAGGUGUGGCAAUUAUGCAUGUUGGAAUGUUUAUUUGCAAAUUAGCAUCAGUCAAAAUUUAAGUAUUUAUGAUGUCAGAGUAAAAUUAACAAAAUAUGUUUCUAUAAUGUAAGUUGCUCAAUGUGAACUUCAGAUUCAACAUAAAAAAUAUUAACAUUAAACUCAAGUAUCACACUCUAUACAGCUCUAUAUAUCUCCCUUUCAGCUACCUCCCUUCAUAUCAUUCCAC
Long non-coding RNA from Cyprinus carpio carpio, 3171 nucleotides. The record is from Ensembl. Lineage: Eukaryota; Metazoa; Chordata; Actinopteri; Cypriniformes; Cyprinidae.